Bos taurus (domestic cattle) is the source of this 68-nucleotide non-coding RNA. NCBI's taxonomy places the organism in Eukaryota, Metazoa, Chordata, Mammalia, Artiodactyla, Bovidae. The record is from Rfam.
CCUGGUGGCUCAGCAGUAAAGAAUCUGCCUGCAAUGCAGGAGACCCAGGUUCGAUCCCUGGGUCAGGA